This 305-nucleotide ribosomal RNA is filed under the name uncultured bacterium. RNAcentral describes it as "bacterial SSU rRNA". It matches the Rfam family "Bacterial small subunit ribosomal RNA", at positions 338 to 637 of the family's 1533-position model. The record is from RNAcentral.
CCUACGGGGGGCAGCAGUGAGGAAUAUUGGUCAAUGGCCGGAAGGCUGAACCAGCCAAGUCGCGUGAGGGAAUAAGGCCCUAUGGGUCGUAAACCUCUUUUGUCAGGGAGCAAAGGCGUCCACGUGUGGACGAGAGGAGAGUACCUGAAGAAAAAGCAUCGGCUAACUCCGUGCCAGCAGCCGCGGUAAUACGGAGGAUCCGAGCAUUAUCCGGAGUGACUGGGUGUAAAGAGUUGCGUAGGUGGCAUAGUAAGUAGCUAGUGAAAUCUGGUGGCUCAACCAUUCAGACUAUUAGCUAAACUGCU